AGGUCAGGCGGGAUUACC
This 18-nucleotide small nuclear RNA is filed under the name Arabidopsis thaliana (thale cress). RNAcentral's name for it is "snRNA_05925". Lineage: Eukaryota; Viridiplantae; Streptophyta; Magnoliopsida; Brassicales; Brassicaceae. The record is from RNAcentral.